RNAcentral lists this ribosomal RNA (483 nucleotides) under uncultured bacterium. RNAcentral describes it as "partial 16S ribosomal RNA". It matches the Rfam family "Bacterial small subunit ribosomal RNA", at positions 30 to 506 of the family's 1533-position model. The record is from RNAcentral.
AUUGAACGCUGGCGGCAGGCCUAACACAUGCAAGUCGAGCGGAUGAAGGGAGCUUGCUCCUGGAUUCAGCGGCGGACGGGUGAGUAAUGCCUAGGAAUCUGCCUGGUAUUGGGGGAUAACGUCCGGAAACGGGCCCUAAUCCCGCAUACGUUCUGAGGGAGAAAGUGGGGGAUCUUCGGACCUCACGCUAUCAGAUGAGCCUAGGUCGGAUUAGCUAGUUGGUGGGGUAAAGGCCUACCAAGGCGACGAUCCGUAACUGGUCUGAGAGGAUGAUCAGUCACACUGGAACUGAGACACGGUCCAGACUCCUACGGGAGGCAGCAGUGGGGAAUAUUGGACAAUGGGCGAAAGCCUGAUCCAGCCAGGCCGCGUGUGUGAAGAAGGUCUUCGGAUUGUAAAGCACUUUAAGUUGGGAGGAAGAGCAGUAAGUUAAUACCUUGCUGUUUUGACGUUACCAACAGAAUAAGCACCGGCUAACUUCGU